CUUUGGUAGUGGGAACACGGUGUGAUUCCGUGACUGUGCCGCAACGGUAAUAGUCCGACACCACCCAAUAG
This 71-nucleotide non-coding RNA is filed under the name Candidatus Roizmaniibacteriota. The record is from RNAcentral.